UCCCGCUUGACAAGCAAAUUGAGUCAGACCGCAGCACCCAGGUUGAGGUGAAGAAUUUGCAGCAAAUAGUAUUGUGCAUCCAGAUUAACUUUAGACCGAAGUUCAUAAGAGAAAUGAAAUAUCACCGACAAAAGUUCGCCGAAGUUCGGCGUCGGCAUUCUACCGAAGUGCUACGCCGACAAAGGCAAUCCUUAUGCAUCGGCAAAGCACCAAAUUGGAAUGCCGACGCCGAACUUCGCCGAAGUUUUGACUGCCGAACUUCUAAUUGUCACUCGAAUUGUCAAUAUCUGUCGGUGGGAGUUUAAACCAUUUUUGUUGUGGAAACCACAAUACGUAGCCUCAAAUUGUUGGAGGAGCAGGGAAGACUAUGGCGCCAGGAAUAUGAGAAAAAAGCAAGGCGAUUAGAAGAGGAAUACCAGCGAGAGUUGGCGGAAGCUAGAGAAGCCUUUAAGAAAGCUGCUGAACAAAUAGCGCUGGAGUUUGCUGCCAAAAGGAAUGAGCACGCAAAAAGGCUCGUUCGUCGCCGCAGUCGUCUAUGAUGAAGCAGCAGCUAGAUGUGCGCAGAACAAGAAUGAGAGGAAACGCGCGCGGGAACAAAUAGAGCAGACCAUGUGGAUCAUCAUCCCAGUUACCCGCCAUCAACGCGAC
Aedes aegypti (yellow fever mosquito) is the source of this 648-nucleotide long non-coding RNA. RefSeq lists it as uncharacterized. NCBI's taxonomy places the organism in Eukaryota, Metazoa, Arthropoda, Insecta, Diptera, Culicidae. The transcript is spliced from 3 exons. The record is from RefSeq and is a predicted model, not a curated record.